CAGUAGCCACGGGAAUACAGAGGGUGCGAGCGUUAAUCGGAUUUACUGGGCGUAAAGCGUGCGUAGGCGGCUUCUUAAGUCGGAUGUGAAAUCCCUGAGCUUAACUUAGGAAUUGCAUUCGAUACUGGGAAGCUAGAGUAUGGGAGAGGAUGGUAGAAUUCCAGGUGUAGCGGUGAAAUGCGUAGAGAUCUGGAGGAAUACCGAUGGCGAAGGCAGCCAUCUGGCAUAAUACUGACGCUGAGGUACGAAAGCAUGGGGAGCAAACAGGAUUAGAUACCCGCGUAGUCCCUGUCUCUUAUAA
This 301-nucleotide ribosomal RNA is filed under the name uncultured bacterium. Its description in RNAcentral is "partial 16S ribosomal RNA". It matches the Rfam family "Bacterial small subunit ribosomal RNA", at positions 509 to 809 of the family's 1533-position model. The record is from RNAcentral.